GUGCCAGCCGCCGCGGUAAUACAGAGGUCUCGAGCGUUGUUCGGAUUCAUUGGGCGUAAAGGGUGCGUAGGCGGCGAGGUAAGUCGGAUGUGAAAUCCCGGGGCUCAACCCCGGAACUGCAUUCGAUACUGCCCCGCUUGAGGACUGGAGAGGAGACUGGAAUUCACGGUGUAGCAGUGAUAUGCGUAGAUAUCGUGAGGAAGACCGGUGGCGAAGGCGGGUCUCUGGACAGUUCCUGACGCUGAGGCACGAAGGCCAGGGGAGCAAACGGGAUUAGAAACCCUCGUAGUCC
Molecule: ribosomal RNA, 292 nt
Filed under: uncultured bacterium
Lineage: Bacteria
Description: partial 16S ribosomal RNA
Rfam family: Bacterial small subunit ribosomal RNA
Source: RNAcentral